RNAcentral lists this ribosomal RNA (433 nucleotides) under uncultured bacterium. RNAcentral's name for it is "partial 16S ribosomal RNA". It matches the Rfam family "Bacterial small subunit ribosomal RNA", at positions 29 to 507 of the family's 1533-position model. The record is from RNAcentral.
AACGAACGCUGGCGGCAUGCCUAACACAUGCAAGUCGAACGAGACCUUCGGGUCUAGUGGCGCACGGGUGCGUAACGCGUGGGAACCUGCCCUUAGGUUCGGAAUAACUCCCCGAAAGGGGUGCUAAUACCGGAUAAUGUCUUCGGACCAAAGAUUUAUCGCCUUUGGAUGGGCCCGCGUUGGAUUAGCUAGUUGGUAGGGUAAAAGCCUACCAAGGCGACGAUCCAUAGCUGGUCUGAGAGGAUGAUCAGCCACACUGGGACUGAGACACGGCCCAGACUCCUACGGGAGGCAGCAGUGGGGAAUAUUUGACAAUGGGCGAAAGGCUGAUCCAGCAAUGCCGCGUGAGUGAUGAAGGCCUUAGGGUUGUAAAGCUCUUUUACCCGAGAUGAUAAUGACAGUACCGGGAGAAUAAGCUCCGGCUAACUCCGUG